Molecule: ribosomal RNA, 389 nt
Filed under: Stramenopiles sp.
Lineage: Eukaryota
Description: partial small subunit ribosomal RNA
Rfam family: Eukaryotic small subunit ribosomal RNA
Source: RNAcentral
AUUCCAGCUCCAACAGCGCAUGUCAAUGUUGUUGCAGUUAAAAAGCUCGCAGUUGGUUUUCUGGUGGGAGUGGCCGGUCCGCCGUGAGGUGUGCACUUGGUUGUCUCCCGUCAUCCUUGUGGGAACUGCUCUGGCAUUGAGUUGUCGGGGUUAGGGAACACAUCGUUCACUGUGAAAAAAUUAGAGUGUUUAAAGCAGGCUCAUGCCGUUGAAUGCAUUAGCAUGGAACAACAAGAUGGGACUUUGGCGUCUGUUUUGUUGGUUUGCACACCAAGGUGAUGAUCAAUGGGGAUAGUUGGGGGCAUUCGUAUUCAAUUGUCAGAGGUGAAAUUCUUGGAUUUAUGAAAGACGAACUUCUGCGAAAGCAUUUACCAAGGAUGUUUUCAUUG